CACUUCAAACUUUCUUCACAAUUCAAAACAAAAGACACUUUAGAAUGGACUCAGUCGGUCCUUAUUAUUAUCAUUAUUUUUUCAUUUUUGUUUUUCAUUCAUUUUUUUCAUUUUUUAUUUAAAUGGUUGAUCGAACCUGAUGUGGGUUGCCUACGUAUCAGGUGGGAACAUGAAUUAGAUCUUGCAUAGUUCGGGAAGAUUAGGAAUAAGCAAAUGAACUAACUCUUUUUUGGAUUUUGGACUUUUUCGAAAGCAAAUGAGGUUUGCCUACGUAUCUCACAUCCGGUGAGAAUCAAACCCGCGUAGUUCGGUCAGUUUUGGCAUAAUUGGAAAAACAUGAUAUUGACUCACUUUCAUUUAUUUUUUUGAAAUACAUUUUCUUUUCCUCUUAUUUUUUCAAAAUUUUUGGCAGAGUUUCUAGGCAUUUUCAAAUACCGGGGUUUUCAGAACCGGGUGAAUUCUCUAUCCUACCUCACUCUUGGUUUUUCUGUAAUUUUUCUUUCCUUAGACGGCAACAUGUAAGCCAAAACAAAUAAAUGUACACAUAGCACAUAAGAUGCAUCAAUAUAGUCUUUUAUUUUGGGUACACCUGUCAUAAACGGACCCAACCCCUGUGUUGAGUCCCCAAGGUCAAAUGCAUGUGAUGCACACAAACGUUCCUACUAGGGAUCCGGCAUGAGGCUAUGUUAUUCUAGGUUUAAACCUGGGGUUGUGUUCUAGACCUGGCUUACCCAAGCGGACAACUCGAGCCGAAGAAGGGGCAACGUACCGGGAGCACGAAAAUCUACCCGGCCUUGUUGCUGGCCCAGCCUCGUUCUAUUUGGUAUAACUUCUAACAGAAAAAGUGGGCCAUGCGAACGUGUGCACCCUUUUUUUGCAAACUCGGAAGGGAGGCAUAAGAAGGCAUUUAAAUACAGUUCAAAUAAUAUCAAAGCAAUAAAUAAGCGACAGUUAGCACAUUAGGUUCACAAAUACAGUAAUAUCAACAAACAAUAAAGCCAAGCAUAGAUCAUAUUAACAAGCUCGAAUUCUUCAACCCUGAACCAGAAGUUUUGGGUUCUAGUUAUUAUUCCCCAGCAGAGUCGCCAGAGCUGUCACGCCUCCUUUUUACCACCAUAAAGGGGUAUAAGUGAGUUUUUCCAAUUAAAGUGACAUAAUCAAAAUGGGAUUAUUUUAUUUAAUUCAGAGUCGCCACUUGGGAUAAUUUCUGGUGUCCCAAGUCACCAAUUUAAAAUUCCGAAUCGAGGAAAGCUUGACUCGUAUUAAUGGUUUGCGAACAUAGAAAUCCGGGUAAGGAAUUCUGUUAACCCGGGAGAAGGUAUUAGGCAUUCCUGGGUUCCAUGGUUUUAGCACGGUCGCUUUGAUCCUACUUGGCUUAAUUAUAUUGUCUAAUUACUUAUUUUUAAACCUAUGUGUAUUUACCCUUUUAACCGCUUUUAAACACUUCAUUAUUAAUUAUAAAAUUAUCUUAAAAUGAGUCAAGCGUACGUGUACUCCUUUUGUUUGGUGCGUCAAAAAUCAUGUCACGCGUAUCUGCCCACAAUCAAUAACACCUUAUUAAUACUAAGAAAAUUUGGCCGAAGUUGGGCGAACGCAUACCUCGAUUUAUUUUGAAAAUCAUAAUUAUGACACGCGAACGUAUACACAAUCAUAAUAAUUUAAGUCGUGCCUAAAAGCAUUUCUACGAGUGUUCAUGAUUUUCCUAAGAUUUGAGAUUAUUGAGAGGUCAAGAAUUAUUAAAUCAAUUGAGAAAAAUGGAUCAGCUUUUGUUCUUAUUAAAAAAAUGGGCCAGCAAAAUAAUUUAUUGGGCCCUAUGUAGUUAACGCAGAACCAACCCCCGAGACCCAAUCUUAUAUCGUUAUCUCAAUUACCAUUGUGGCCCAUUAUACUAUUCUAAAGACUAUUUGGCUUAUGCCAAACCUCCAACUCAUCGUGCAAAUACUUGAACUCAAACUCAAUGGAUUAACAGGCUUAAAAAAAAUCACUACAUUAAGUCAUCUCAAGCAACUAACGGACCAUGGAAAUUAAUCAUUCAUAGAAAAAUAUCAAAGCGUGAUUUGAAACAAUAAAAAGAAUAGAGAUGGACCUUUAUUAUUAAAUAUGUUCCUCCAAAUUUGUACAAUGAAAACAAAGCUUCCAAUUGACUGCAAACAUAACGAGAGGCUGCAAAUGGAACCACAACGGAAGUUGGACGAGAAAAGCUUCAAACUUGACCUUGAAAGAAAGGUCUUUGGGUGAACUCGACAACAGCUUUUGCUGCAUUUUCGAGCUGCUUUUCGCAAGGUUUUCGGGCUGCUUUUUCCUCGAGUUUAGAGGGUGAUAUUAGCUGCGUUUUUGGAGUUGUUUCAGGUGAUUUUGGGAAGGUUUUGGAGCUAAUUUUUGGAGUUGUUUUUUCUGGUUUUGGUGCAGAUUUUGGGAUGGAUUUAACAGAGAAUUUGGGGCUGUUUGUGAGGUAAAAGAGCUGCUGGUUUUUGUAGUGUUUAACUAGUUAUUAACGGAGGUUCAUGGCUGCAUUACUGAGCAGAUUUUUAGCUUGUUUUUUUUGAGUUUUUUGAGGUCUUUAAUGGAAUAUCUAGAGGAAGAAGAUGAGUUUAUGGUUAGGAAGAAGAAAAGAAAAGCAGUUGUGAUUUUUUUUCUUUCAAAUGCUGCGGCGCAGCUUUUUUUUUCUUUGCUCUAGGGUUCUCCUUUUUUAUGCCCAGCCCUUCUCUUUU
RNAcentral lists this long non-coding RNA (2711 nucleotides) under Nicotiana tabacum (common tobacco). RNAcentral describes it as "long non-coding RNA (NTAB_LNC011419)". The record is from RNAcentral. Lineage: Eukaryota; Viridiplantae; Streptophyta; Magnoliopsida; Solanales; Solanaceae.